UAAGACGAACCGUCCAAACGUUAUUCGGUAUCACUGGGCUUAAAGCGUGCGUAGGCGGCUUGGUAGGUGAGAUGUGAAAGCCCACGGCUCAACCGUGGAAUUGCGUUUCAAACCCCCAAGCUCGAGGAAGAUAGGGGUGAUGGGAACUUAUGGUGGAGCGGUGAAAUGCGUUGAUAUCAUAGGGAACACCGGUGGCGAAAGCGCAUCACUGGAUCUUUUCUGACGCUGAGGCACGAAAGCUAGGGUAGCGAACGGGAUUAGAUACCCCGGUAGUCCUAGCCGUAAACGAUGAACACUGGGUUGAGGGGACUUCCACAUCCUCUCGGCCGUAGCGAAAGCGUUAAGUGUUCCGCCUGGGGGAGUAUGGUCGCAAGGCUG
Molecule: ribosomal RNA, 378 nt
Filed under: uncultured Planctomycetota bacterium
Lineage: Bacteria; Pseudomonadati; Planctomycetota
Description: bacterial SSU rRNA
Rfam family: Bacterial small subunit ribosomal RNA
Source: RNAcentral